This is a long non-coding RNA of Oncorhynchus gorbuscha (pink salmon), 7142 nucleotides long. RefSeq lists it as uncharacterized. The transcript is spliced from 5 exons. Lineage: Eukaryota; Metazoa; Chordata; Actinopteri; Salmoniformes; Salmonidae. The record is from RefSeq and is a predicted model, not a curated record.
UGAGCAAGAGGACAAAUACAUUAGUGUCUAGUUUGAGAAACAGAUGCCUCACAAGUCCUCAACUGGCAGCUUCAUUAAAUAGUACCCGCAAAACACCAGUCUCUAUGUCAACAGUGACAAGGCGACUCCGGAAUGCUGGCCUUCUAAGUAGAGUUGCAAAGAAAAAGCCAUAUCUCAGUCUGGCCAAUAAAAAUGAAAUAUUAAGAUGGCAAAAGAACACAGACACUGGACAGAGAAACUGCCUAGAAGGUCAGCAUCCCGGAGUCGCCUCUUCACUGUUGAUGUUGAGACUGAUGUUUUGCUGGUACUAUUUAAAGAAGCUGCCAGUUGAGGACUUGUGAGGCGUCUGUUUCUCAAACUAAACACUAAUGGUUCCAGCUACAAUAGUCAUUUACAACAUUAACAAUGUCUGUACUGUAUUUCUGAGCAAUUUGAUGUAAUUUGAAUGGACAAAAAAAAUGUGAUUUUCCUUUAAAAAAAACAAGUACAUUUCAAAGUGACCCCAAACUUUUGAACGGUAGUGUACAUGGACUUCCCCAGAAUCGUCCUUGACAAACACCUGUAUGUGCUUAUUUCCAGUAUUCUAAGAAAAGACCACUCUGAAGAACUGAGAUUCAAUCUCUGGAUGCAAGUCUAGUUGAGUUGUGUACAAAUGCGACUCAAUUCAGUAAAAAUGGACUUUCUUUCAUUAUCGUAACGAUCACGUUAUGUUCCUGUGCAGAGAUUUCACCAGAUAAUACUGCAGCGCUUUGACAUGAAAUUUGUUUUGCCACUUGUCCUUCAGACAAGUAGGACAGAUUUGUUUUUUUUUUGGUCAGAAAGCUCAAGUCACCAAAGAGUGAUACUUAAAAUUGUCGUAUGAUUCAAGGAACCCCUUUACAAUAUAAAAAUGACCAUUGUUGCUACCGUAUAGAGAAUCAGACAAAUGUAGGCUACCCUCUGCAUUAUGGGCUUCUUUGCAUAUUCAAGCCUGUCUCAAAAUAGAACACUGCCCCUUUUAGAUGCACCUGGAGGGUGAUUGGCAACCCUUUAAAUAGCCCUCAAAAAUAUUGCACAGUUACAAUUCCAACCGAAUACGUUUUGUCUUUAAUAAAUAAUCGACUCAUGUAAUGAUUGAGAAUCAAAUGGCUACAGUAGGUUUCUUAAAAGAACGGUAACUGACAAAGACAUGUUUAUAACAUUGUAAGGCUGAAAUAUUCAGGUUUCAGUGGGGGUUUAUUGACCGCACUGUUCAACCAAUCCAAUAAAUGUGGAGGAAGAGUUAAGAUGGAAUGUCACCUUGUUUAACGUCCAAAAGCACAAGUCACUUCCCAGGCUCUUUCCAUUUCACCUGAAACCCGAACAUCCGGCGGAGGCUACUAUGAAGCUAUUCUAAGAUUUUAACGUCAGAAUGACAUUGCCAAUGUUGAAUAGAGGGGGUAUACCAGCUUUCCAAUGGUGUUAGAUUUAUUCCUCAACUUCCAAUAAUAAAUACAUUUCAGAUGUGCUAUCCCCAAAAUAAUCAUUUGGUUGUGUUUAUGAAGGUCUUUGCUAACAUUAGACUGAGUUUUAUUUUUUAUUUUUUAAGAACACAGUAGCAUUUUCAUUCAUUUUACUGUAGGCUAUCUGUAAAAAUGGGGGAGGGGGAACCACAAAGCACCACAAUUGUGUUCAGUCAUCACACAGAAAUCCAUUAUAAGUACGUUUUGGAAGGUCUUAUACAACCCGGUGCAGUCCAAAUGGUGUUUUUCCUGUGUUUCGUAUCAUUGUACAACAGUUGAUGAAACAAACACUGUAAAAGUGUGAACAAAAUUGAUAAGUGUUGUUUUCUGAUAGUUCCUGCUUGAAAAUACAAUAUACACAGGACCUUCAAAUCAGCCUGUUUGCAUGAGUGGGAGUUUCUGCUUGCCUGGUGGGAAAUUGGUUAAUAAACCAAUAACAAAGAGAGUUCCAAACCUCUGUUAGUAACAGCAAGUUUUUCCCUCCCCACUUAGACCACUCCCAGACAGUCUUAACAAAAAAUCUUGCUUGAGAAAGUUUUUUGCAAAAAAUAUUGUUGUUCAUUUGAAUGGAAAACUGUUACAGUAAGGCUCUUGUUAUCCAGAAAUGAUUUGAUGUUGAUAUAAACAUGGCUGAAUUGGAACUUUUUAAGAAAAAAAGUGACAAAGAAAAUGUAUUUCAAAAGAACAGAGUAAAAUAUUUUCAGUUUUAUUUUAUUACUAGAAGUUGUUGCUUAGUAGCCUCGGCUAUGCUACCUCCAGUACUCUGUGUGGAGUGCAUGGAACAGCGUUUUUGGUUGGGAAAAGUUAUAUUUUGAAAUAGAGCUCAUCUUGGUUAUUUGGCAAAUAAAGGUCUUUCUGAUAGAUAAAAAAUGACCUGCAAGAACCUGUAGGAUGAUUAGAAAAUGCUGAUUUUUGGUUAAGCUAAGUUAAUUACAAACGCUUCAAUGUUUCUCUGUCUCUUCUCGGGCCCAAGCACAUUGGCACACAUGCAGGUGAUUGAUGCGCACAACAUUACAUUUCCAGGAUUUUCAUGACCGUACCUGUGUGCUGACCAACAAUUAGCUAUAACUGGGCAAAUAACUCCCUAACCAGCAAGGAAUAUCAACAAAUGUGCACAUGUGGCUACAGAUAGAUCUGCUCAAAAGCACAUUCUUAUUCAAAUUAUUUUUUUUGAUAUUGUGAUUCUUAUUUUUACAUGUCUUUUUUUAAACACAACAUCUUGUGCUUGUCUGACACUUGUUUUUACUUGCCCCGGACAAUCUGAAAGUCAAGCCUCACUAUUGUCAAUAGGAAUCAUUCGACACAAAGUAGGCAGUUUGUAGUUUGCCUCAGAAUCAGCACAGAAAGGAGUGUUAAGGAUCACCUUGGGCUAGAUCUUCGUGUGUUAAGCCAGUUAUGACCAAUCCUCUUGCUACCACCUAGUGACUCAGUCACACACAACAUCUGCAGGUUUUAGUGCCUCAUUACUGAUGACAUCAUUUCAGUGGAAUAGUCAGCUCAUGAGUGUCAUACUAAGUGGGCUGUCCCAUCCAAGUCCUCCAAGACUACUUUGUUAAAGUUGACUUGUACAUUAGUCACAAAACAUCUGUUAAAACCAUAUAAUAAGCCUUUAAUGGAACCUCUGAACACCAUUUUCCUCUGUUCUCUGUUCUGAUGAUGUUAACAGUAUAAUGAGAGCUUGGUAAUGCGUUUGAAGUUAGCUCCUGUGAGAACUAAAAUCAUAACUGGCCUCAAAAAACCACAGUGAGACUCUGGUGAUCUAAAGUCAAUGGCAAAAAAAUUGUUUAUGUAUUGGUUCAAAAUAAGACCUCUAUAAUAUUUUGAUGUAAUGUUGUGUCUGGGUAUUGGGAUUGGUAUAAAUGAGUAGAGUGUGUGGGCUCUGAUUGUGUGAUAUGAACAUACAUGUCAUUCGGAACAUACUAGUGAUCAUUUUGUAUUUCACAGUGUAGAAGUUGUUUUCCUAGUAAAAACUUGAACUUGUGCAUCAUGAGUUGAAUACAUUUCCUCAUCGUGGGGUUUUCUGACCUCUUCUCAACAUUUUGGGAGGUCAAUAAUGGGAAAGCAUUUGAUCUUGCUAAAAAAGCAGAAGUAUCAAAUGCACAUGAGUCUGCGAGUGUUGCAGUUCCCACUUGUGCGCCUAACAUUUGGUUGCCCAAUACUGUAUAUAGGAGGAGGGGUUUUGCGUUGUGUUUUUACAGAUGUUGCUCCUUCCUGAGGAUGGUAAAAAGAAAAAGAAAAAAGCUCCUUUGACAGUCAAGUGUUACAUUUGCAUACAACCAUAUGACCAUACAAAAUAAUAUAUACCAUACAUGUAUACAACAAAUAUGAGAUGGUGAGAUUUUAAAAAACAAACAAAACAAAAAAACACUGCAACAGUUCCAGAACCUACUCAUGUGAACCAAGAUGAGGAUCCUUCUCUGUAAUUGUAUUAAGUUCCCUGUGGUGUUUCUCAGAAAAAUACCACUUUGCAUCACAAAAGUUCCUCUUCUGUGAAGUUUUAAACAACCCUGAACGUAUUCAACCCCAGUGUAAAAGUGCUUUUCUUCACUGCUUAUGGGAUCCAUAUGCAACUGCCGGAUACUUGUAUUUUUUGGCAGUGCUCAGUGAAUGACGUGACAGGCGUGGUAAUAACAAUGAGAACACAAUUAAUUCCAGAUCUUUACAGACUUUGCACUCCGAAGUUGGCUAAAGGAAAAUCAAAAAGGGUGCGGUCAUGGUAUUUUAGUUCUGCUGGUUCAAAUAUACAUAUUGUGAAUGAUCAUUGACAUUUUUCGCUUUACUACAAUAAACGAAAGUAAAAUGUUUUAUCGUUCGAAAGUUUCCUGCCUGUCCGGACGGCAGUACUCAGAAUGUGAGUACAGUACAUAGGAAAUGACUCAUAGGAGUUGAACUGUUAGCGUGGGUGUGUACUCUAUUAAAACAAGGCUCAGACUACUCCGGGUGACUCAUUGUGAGGCUAGCUUUUCCAUGGUGAAAAACAAAACGGGCUUUUCAUCAGAUGAACUUUCGGGAAUUUCGUUUAUACAAGAAACAUGGCUUCAAGCAUUAUCUGUGCGCUUUGUGGACUUGUCAUUGCGACUGUAGCGAACCUAAACGGCGCGAACGGGCAACAAAACCUAUGCAGCAGUUCAGAGUUCUGGAGUUCGGACAUAGACCAAUGCGUAUCCUGCUCAUCGUGCAAGCAGUAUCCAAAGACCCCUUCGUGUAACACUUGCACAUUUACCAAGGAAAGAUCUGAUGUCUGGAGACUGGCAGCCAUUUCCAGCUUCUCUGUGCUGGCAGUUAUUCUGGUCGCUGCAGUAUUGAUCAUUGGAGUCAUGGUGCAUCGACGCAAGGCGCAGAAGAGGCCCCUCCGUGAACCCAUUGAAGAGACAACGGGACCUCUUUACCAAGCGUAAACAUUUCACCUCAUCUUCCUUCUGACAUUGAUGUGACAGAACCAAGGGAACAUCUUUGGAUGACCAACCGAAACAGAAUCAUUUUUGUACAAUGGAUUAUACUCUGACCACAGGGUAUUAUUUGAGUGGAGUUUGACCAUUUAAUUUAUUAUACUGUUAGUAAAGAUGUGUUCACACACACUCAGUGUGUUUCGGAACGGAGCUCUCACAUAGAACUGUGUUAACAAGCGCUGUCAAUCCCCUACCUUGUCUGCAGUCAGACUGUACUCUGAGUAAGACAAUGUAGUUAGUCAAGAGUAUCUCUCACAGCUCUUUUUGAAAUGAUGGCCUUCGAGUAGUGAUGCUAGGUUGAGCUUGUCUAGAUAUUCCAAUAUUCUAUCUAUCGAUAAGUUGUUCAAUCAAUAAGUAGUUUAAAAAACAGUAGUGAACAUGAGACACAUCUUGAAUGAUGUGGAUUUCCAACCAUUUCUGUCAAUGCUUAAACACCUAUUGUUUUAUUGUAGCUUAUUAGGACGAAUACCAACUACCGAACUGUCUCGACUUGCCAUCAGCGGGAUAAAAGGGAAUACAGCACAAUCGUGCUUCCUGGGCCAGGUUUCACAUACUGUACUUCUAUAAGAGUAACGUUUCUAUUUAACAUCCUCGUGAUAAUGACAAGUAAAAGGGAAAUGUUAGAUUAUAAAUUCAUGUUGGGCACAUUUUGGCAAUUUGAAUGUACUUUUAGGGCAAUUUAUCCAGUCUGUGUUUCCAUGUAGGAACUAUAUGCACUUAGAGCUACUUAGAGCUACUUGUUUUUUAACUCAUCAUUUUUAAAGGAGUAGAAUUCUUUUAACAGUAUCGUACACUGUACUCUCUAGGAUCUUCCAAUCAAAAGAGGCAAAGGGGAAAAUAAGUGAACUGAUUAUGAAACUGCGUAUUGGACAUUCUUACACAGGUCAUUUAACCAUUAUACUGUAGUAUGUGUGUAUGCAGGAUAAGUAGUAUAACACAGGGGCUUGCAAACUGUCGUGAUGGAAAAGUUCAAGGUGGUCCAGAAUCCUGUGGGAAUGUGUUUAUAUAGUUCAGGGAUGGGCAACUUUGAUGGGGGUGAGGGCCACAAAAAAAAUCUGAACACAAUCAUGAGGGGCCACUGUUGUGCCGCCACACAAUUCUACACAUCUCGCAAUAUGGUGGAGAGAAACGUUUGCAGUUUGAAUGAUAUCUUACUGAGACUGACUAAUAAAAUCAAUGAGCACUAGACUAAUUUACCAAUCUAAAAAAUGUUAGCUGACAUGGACUAAUUGAGGAACAAGAAAAACUGCCGAUGCACAACCAAAUUUCUAAAUGGCACCUUGUGUAUUCUACUAUUCUAACUCGCAACAGUAAGUUGAGACCCUGACUAAGCCCUUCCACCUGUUGCCAAUCCCUGGUAUAGUUUAUACUGUUUUUUUUCUUCUUUUUGCAAUUAAAUCCAUUCCCGAUGGACAAAUAGGGAAACCUUAGCGUUGUGCUCUCCACAGUUGAAACAAUGGAGAUGAGUCAAUGCUUGUGUGACAUUUUUUAACACUAUUAGACACUGACUGCCAACCCAGGAAGGAACAUUGCAAUUUAGGGAAAAACAAACUGAACCCUAUUGAAAUGUAUAACCAUGGUAUAACUGUGUACUCAUCUUCAAACUAACUCAGAGCACAAUUUUAGGGCUUGUGUGUCAGGAUAAUGUGGGUGGCUGAAUAUGACUUAAUUCACAUUACUGACAAUAUUACUUUCUUAUCAAUAUUAAGUGGAUAUGUAUACCAGCAGCAAGAAAAGGGUCAUUGGACAAUUUUUAUACAGAUAUUGUUUUCAUAUCUAUUUAUUUUGAAUGAUAUAUUUUCUAAUGUUUAUAGUUACAUGUGGUAACAGCUAAAUGUAUGAAUAAAUACUGACGAAGGGACACUUGUAAAGUUGUUUGUAAAACCUCUGACACCAGCUGACCAAUUAGAUUUGUUACUGAGCAAUCAUUUGGGGCUCUAUUCAAUCGGUGAAGUGGUACAGAUUGUGCAAUAGCAGUGUAAAGGUAAUUUCACAUUGAGCCGUCAUAUGCAGCAUUUACCAUGAAUGCAGUCUCCGCUAACGCGGAAACAGCCUUUAAAUUUCAACGCUAAACUUCCGUAUUUGGAUUGAAUAUUGCCCUAGUGAAUGUACUUUGUCUGUUUGGGUUAUGUACAUGAGUUAGUGUAGUAAUAAGCAUGGUUACAAAUGAACUGACUUUUGUGUUAUAUAGAAUAAAAUUAUGAAUCCCAUA